UUUUUACACAUAGGUUUUCCGAAUUAAUUGAAUAACUGACCCGUGUGGUUUGAAAGUGGCCUAACUCCAUUUAUAGUUACAUCAAGGUAUUUACUAUUGAUAAUGUCGGAAAGCAGCGAUGAAGAAAUUAUUGCACCCAUGAGGAAGAACCGAAGAAGACCACUUAGUUCAGAUAGUGAAAAAGAAAUAGUAAUUAAUAAAAAAAAAGCGAAUAAGAAAAAGAGUUAUAAAACAAUAUUCCUCGUCAGAGGAUGAAGAUUCAAAUAACAAUGGAGAAAAGAUUGAUGCACCAUAUAUCCAAAAAGUGCGAAAGAUAAAACGGAAUUCAGGAAAAAGAUAUUGCAGUUAAACCGGAAGUAUUGUUCAUGAAAAAAAUUUCGAAAACAAAGAUUGUGGUUGUCGGAAUGCGUGCACAAAAAAUUAUAAUGAAGAAGAAAGAAAGAAUAUUUUUGAGAAGUUUUGGGGUUUGGCAGAUUUUAACAAACAAAAUGUAUUACUUCACGAAGCUGUCUGUGAAACGAAGACGUUUUUUUUCUUCAAUUUGAAACAUCUUAAAUUAUGUUGAAUGGA
Long non-coding RNA from Dalotia coriaria, 570 nucleotides. RefSeq lists it as uncharacterized. The record is from RefSeq and is a predicted model, not a curated record. The transcript is spliced from 2 exons. Lineage: Eukaryota; Metazoa; Arthropoda; Insecta; Coleoptera; Staphylinidae.